Molecule: long non-coding RNA, 354 nt
Filed under: Coturnix japonica (Japanese quail)
Lineage: Eukaryota; Metazoa; Chordata; Aves; Galliformes; Phasianidae
Description: lncRNA (ENSCJPG00005000744.1)
Source: RNAcentral
AAUUAAUUUCUAUAUUUACAUGUUUUUCAGACAACCAAUCUUGGCCAAAUCCCGAUUGUAGGGAUGUGGACGCUUAAUGUGAUAUUCUCAUGGCCAGAGAAAUAAGCACACUGCAAUUCUCCAGAAUGUUCUUAUAAAAGGGACCAGACAUGGAAAUGAACCGUAUAUGCUGGCUAUCAUAUUUCAGUUGAUACCCAUUUCCUAAAAGAUUCUUUCUUCUACUUUAGAGUAAGCUUAUUCCAAAGGCAGUGGAACAGGUUACUCUUUGAUGUCCAGAUAAGUGGAAAAAAAAAAACACUUUUCCAAUGUAUUGAUCUCUCUCAGGAGCAUUAGCUUCAGAUGAUCAUCUGUCCU